CACAUUUAAGCUCCCAGUAGCAGGUCUUUAGCCUGAAAGGCAGCCAGUUUUACUGAGGUGAACUUCUGGAAUUUGUUCAGCUGCACAGACACUUACUCCUCUCCUUCCAUCUGCUUAUUCCUAGCAGAGCCCCACCAGUCACUUUUGAGUCGCUUCAGUGGUAUAAAUUCUCUCAAUUCCUGCUGCCCAGCUGCUCAGCAGUAUUCGAUAUAUACUUCAAACCUUACUCUCCUCUCUUCACAAAAGGAAAACAGAGGAAAGGAAAUUAAGAUUACUUGAGGAAGAACUAAGCACUUAAUAUGUAUCAUUACACUUAAUUCUCACAGAAGUUCUAUUUCACAGAGGGUAAAACGGAGCAUCAGUUAAGGUAAGUAGGCUUGUGUGGGUUUCCCAGCUGCUAAGUGGUGAAAUGGGUCUGAGGCUGGGUACAUCUCAUUCUAAACCCUGCACCAGUAAAUGCUGUUUUACUGAUUAUAAUCUGUAAAGCACUUGAUACAUGUAAAGUAUUAAAUUACUUACAUCUUCCAUUUAAUUGACUUCAUCAACCUCAGAAGCAUAGUAAAUUGUAAUG
Molecule: long non-coding RNA, 571 nt
Filed under: Felis catus (domestic cat)
Lineage: Eukaryota; Metazoa; Chordata; Mammalia; Carnivora; Felidae
Description: lncRNA (ENSFCAG00000048582.1)
Source: RNAcentral